GGCUGUUCGCCCAUUAAAGCGGUACGCGAGCUGGGUUCAGAACGUCGUGAGACAGUUCGGUCCCUAUCCGUCGUGGGCGUAGGAAAUUUGAGAGGAGCUGUCCUUAGUACGAGAGGACCGGGAUGGACAUACCUCUGGUGUACCAGUUGUCGUGCCAACGGCAUAGCUGGGUAGCUAUGUGUGGACGGGAUAAGUGCUGAAAGCAUCUAAGCAUGAAGCCCCCCUCAAGAUGAGAUUUCCCAACUUCGGUUAUAAGAUCCCUCAAAGAUGAUGAGGUUAAUAGGUUCGAGGUGGAAGCAUGGUGACAUGUGGAGCUGACGAAUACUAAUCGAUCGAAGACUUAAUCAA
RNAcentral lists this ribosomal RNA (348 nucleotides) under Staphylococcus aureus. RNAcentral's name for it is "partial 23S ribosomal RNA". It matches the Rfam family "Bacterial large subunit ribosomal RNA", at positions 2575 to 2925 of the family's 2925-position model. The record is from RNAcentral. Lineage: Bacteria; Bacillati; Bacillota; Bacilli; Caryophanales; Staphylococcaceae.